RNAcentral lists this ribosomal RNA (233 nucleotides) under uncultured bacterium. RNAcentral describes it as "partial 16S ribosomal RNA". It matches the Rfam family "Bacterial small subunit ribosomal RNA", at positions 118 to 353 of the family's 1533-position model. The record is from RNAcentral.
UGAGCAACCUGCCCCUGGCUCUGGGAUAACCCCGGGAAACCGGAGCUAAUACCGGAUACGAGACCGAUUGGCAUCUUUACGGUCUGGAAAGUUUUUCGGCCAGGGAUGGGCUCGCGGCCUAUCAGCUUGUUGGUGGGGUAACGGCUCACCAAGGCGACGACGGGUAGCUGGUCUGAGAGGACGACCAGCCACACUGGGACUGAGACACGGCCCAGACUCCUACGGGAGCAGCA